RNAcentral lists this ribosomal RNA (1808 nucleotides) under human gut metagenome. Its description in RNAcentral is "bacterial LSU rRNA". It matches the Rfam family "Bacterial large subunit ribosomal RNA", at positions 1098 to 2925 of the family's 2925-position model. The record is from RNAcentral.
AGGUUGGCUCAGAAGCAGCCAUCCUUUAAAGAGUGCGUAACAGCUCACUAGUCGAAUGACUCUGCGCCGAUAAUUUACCGGGGCUAAGCAUACUACCGAAGCUAUGGAUCCCAAGGGAUGGUAGGGGAGCGUUCCAUGAACGGAGAAGCGCGAUCGAGAGGACGCGUGGAGAUCAUGGAAGAGAGAAUGCCGGUGUGAGUAGCGGAACGUGGGUGAGAAUCCCACGCACCGAAAACCCAAGGUUUCCAGAGGAAGGUUCGUCCGCUCUGGGUAAGUCGGGACCUAAGGCGAGGCCGAGAGGCGUAGUCGAUGGACAACAGGUAGAGAUUCCUGUACUCAUAUAUAUGUGAAGGAAUGACGGAGAGAGGAAGCUGCAGCCAGCGGCUGGAAGAGCUGGUGCAAGCGAGAUAUCGGGAUGGCAGGCAAAUCCACCAUCCGAAACGAGAAGGCGUGAAGCGUACGGAAAGCUAAGGCGAGUACGGAAGGCAGUGGAGGAGCUUCCAAGAAAAGUUUCUAACGAAAGUAUAUGUGACCCGUACCGAAAAUGGACACACAUGGGUGAGGAGAGAAUCCUAAGGUGAGCGAGAGAACUAUAGCUAAGGAACUCUGCAAAAUGACUCCGUAACUUAGGGAGAAGGAGUGCUCAUAGAGAUAUGAGCCGCAGUGAAACGGCCCAAGCGACUGUUUACCAAAAACACAGCUCUCUGCUAAGCCGCAAGGCGAAGUAUAGGGGGUGACGCCUGCCCGGUGCUGGAAGGUUAAGGGGAGGGGUUAACGCAAGUGAAGCCCUGAACUGAAGCCCCAGUAAACGGCGGCCGUAACUAUAACGGUCCUAAGGUAGCGAAAUUCCUUGUCAGGUAAGUUCUGACCCGCACGAAAGGCGUAACGAUUUGGGCGCUGUCUCAGCUGUAGACUCGGUGAAGUCUUAGUACCUGUGAAGAUGCAGGUUACCCGCGACUAGACGGAAAGACCCCAUGGAGCUUCACUGCAGGUUGAUAUUGGGAUUUGAUGCAGCAUGUACAGGAUAGGUAGGAGGCAAAGAGAUGGAUACGCCAGUAUUCAAGGAGCCGCUGUUGGGAUACUACCCCUGUUGUAUUGGAUUUCUAACCGGACGACGUAAAGCCGUUGACGGGACAGUGUCAGUCGGGCAGUUUGACUGGGGCGGUCGCCUCCCAAAGAGUAACGGAGGCGCCCAAAGAUACCCUCAGCUUGGAUGGAAACCAAGCGCAGAGUGCAAAGGCAAAAGGGUGUUUGACUGCGAGACCCACAAGUCGAGCAGGGACGAAAGUCGGGCUUAGUGAUCCGGCGGUGCUGAAUGGAAAGGCCGUCGCUCAACGGAUAAAAGCUACCCUGGGGAUAACAGGCUGAUCUCCCCCAAGAGUUCACAUCGACGGGGAGGUUUGGCACCUCGAUGUCGGCUCAUCGCAUCCUGGAGCUGAAGUAGGUUCCAAGGGUUGGGCUGUUCGCCCAUUAAAGCGGUACGCGAGCUGGGUUCAGAACGUCGUGAGACAGUUCGGUCCCUAUCUGUCGUGGGCGCAGGAAAUUUGAGAAGAGCUGUCCUCAGUACGAGAGGACCGGGAUGGACGCAUCAAUGGUGGACCAGUUGUCACGCCAGUGGCAUAGCUGGGUAGCUAAAUGCGGAAGGGAUAAACGCUGAAGGCAUCUAAGUGUGAAACCCACUUCAAGAUGAGAUUUCCCAUUGCGCAAGCAAGUAAGACCCCUUAAAGACGAUAAGGUAGAUAGGUCAGGAGUGUAAGCAUGGUGACAUGUUAAGCGGACUGAUACUAAUAGGUCGAGGGCUUGACCGA